GGAUUAGAUACCCUGGUAGUCCACGCUGUAAACGAUGUCAACUAGCCGUUGGGGAUCUUGAAUCUUUAGUGGCGCAGCUAACGCACUAAGUUGACCGCCUGGGGAGUACGGCCGCAAGGUUAAAACUCAAAUGAAUUGACGGGGGCCCGCACAAGCGGUGGAGCAUGUGGUUUAAUUCGACGCAACGCGAAGAACCUUACCUGGCCUUGACAUGUUGGGAACUUUCCAGAGAUGGAUUGGUGCCUUCGGGAACCCAAACACAGGUGCUGCAUGGCCGUCGUCAGCUCGUGCUG
RNAcentral lists this ribosomal RNA (293 nucleotides) under uncultured bacterium. Its description in RNAcentral is "partial 16S ribosomal RNA". It matches the Rfam family "Bacterial small subunit ribosomal RNA", at positions 775 to 1067 of the family's 1533-position model. The record is from RNAcentral.